AUGGCACAGGAAGGCCGGCAGGUUCAGCUUCACGGACGGCGCGCCUCCGCUUGCAGCGCUCAUCACCACGCUCUCACAUUGCUCCCCGUCGUUCUCGUUCAGGCGGUACAUGUCGGUGGACUCCGAGCCCAGACGGUCCGUGAAGUACACGCAGUUGGCUUCGAUGGACGGGAACUUGUCGGCGUCGAGGCAGACGCACCUGUGACAGCCGCCGGCGAAGAUGGCGUGGCUGCCGAUGCUCUUGACGCGCUCCAGCGUGCUCGCGGCCAUGUCCAUCUUGAAGACCUCCACGCGGCUCUCCAGCUUGAAGACCACCAGCGUUUCCCCGGCGGACUCCACCACGAAGCAGCGCUUCCAGGAGGCGGUGUCGAUCUCCUCGGCCGGCACGUCGGCGGGCACGUCGUUGAAAGGGCUCAUCAGAUCGGCGAUCUUGGCGACCACCGCGGGCGGGAGCGGCCGCAGCUGCCCCUGGUGGCCGUCCACGGCGACGAGGCCCUGCACGGCCUUCCUCACCAGAGGGUACGCGUGCCUCUUCUUGUACCUGACGAACUCCUUGCUGUCGGGGGCGGCCCUGUAGAGCUUCAUGGUGUCCUGGCAGUAGAGGACGAGGUAGGGCGGGGCGGAGCCGGAGACGGCGGCGGCGAGCACGUGGGCGCGCAUGCGGGCCGCGAAGCGGACCAUGUGGCCCGUGAAGGGGUGGAGCACGCAGGCGGCGUGCGGCGGGUCCCUGGCGGCCAGCACGAGCAGCCCGUCGGCGGUGACGGAGACGACGAAGUAGGCGCGGAGGAGCGGCAUGCGCCGGCCGUGGAAGCGGCCCGUGGCGGUGUUGACGAGGAGGCGCGCGUCGACGCCGUGGGACGGGUAGUCGAGCAUGACCCAGCCGCGCGGCCGGAAGCGCGGCUCCAGCGUGCCCCCCGGGUCGGCCGUGGCCGCGCGCCAGCUGUGGCAGACGGCGCGGAGCGCCAUGUAGCAGUCGACGUCGGCGGUGUCGAGAAGCAGGUUGGCGACGCGGUCGACCAGCUCCGGCAUCAGCGACGCCCAGCGCUGGGUGUCCUCCAUGGCGGCGCUCCGGCGGGGCGGCGGGGCGGCGCGUGGUGGGUGGGAGGCGUUGGGUCGCCGAGGCUUCCGGAUCUGGGAGUGUGGAUUAGUGUGCUCCACGUGAAGCAUUCACGCCACGCGAGUGGUUAA
Molecule: ribosomal RNA, 1188 nt
Filed under: Triticum aestivum (bread wheat)
Lineage: Eukaryota; Viridiplantae; Streptophyta; Magnoliopsida; Poales; Poaceae
Description: partial small subunit ribosomal RNA
Source: RNAcentral